GAUGAACGCUAGCUACAGGCCUAACACAUGCAAGUCGAACGGAGACAGGGAGGAGCUUGCUCCACCCUGUCUGAGUGGCGGACGGGUGAGUAACGCGUGAGUAACCUGCCUUAAAGAGGGGGAUAACGUCUGGAAACGGACGCUAAUACCGCAUGACAUACGGAGAUGGCAUCAUAACCGUAUCAAAGGAGGAAUCCGCUUUAAGAUGGACUCGCGUCCAAUUAGCUGGUUGGUGAGGUAACGGCUCACCAAGGCGACGAUUGGUAGCCGGACUGAGAGGUUGAACGGCCACAUUGGGACUGAGACACGGCCCAGACUCCUACGGGAGGCAGCAGUGGGGAAUAUUGCACAAUGGGGGGAACCCUGAUGCAGCGACGCCGCGUGAGGGAAGAAGGUUUUCGGAUUGUAAACCUCUGUCCUUGGUGACGAUAAUGACGGUAGCCAAGGAGGAAGCCACGGCUAACUACGUGCCAGCAGCCGCGGUAAUACGUAGGUGGCAAGCGUUGUCCGGAAUUACUGGGUGUAAAGGGAGCGUAGGCGGGAAGACAAGUUGGGAGUGAAAUGUAUGGGCUUAACCCAUAAACUGCUUUCAAAGCUGUUUUUCUUGAGUGAAGUAGAGGCAGGCGGAAUUCCUAGUGUAGCGGUGAAAUGCGUAAAUAUUAGGAGGAACGCCAGUGGCGAAGGCGGCCUGCU
Molecule: ribosomal RNA, 693 nt
Filed under: uncultured Lachnospiraceae bacterium
Lineage: Bacteria; Bacillati; Bacillota; Clostridia; Lachnospirales; Lachnospiraceae
Description: bacterial SSU rRNA
Rfam family: Bacterial small subunit ribosomal RNA
Source: RNAcentral